This 301-nucleotide ribosomal RNA is filed under the name uncultured bacterium. Its description in RNAcentral is "partial 16S ribosomal RNA". It matches the Rfam family "Bacterial small subunit ribosomal RNA", at positions 509 to 807 of the family's 1533-position model. The record is from RNAcentral.
CAGUAGCCGCGGUAAUACGAAGGGCGCAAGCGUUAAUCGGAAUUACUGGGCGUAAAGCGUGCGUAGGCGGUUUGUUAAGUCUGUUGUGAAAUCCCCGGGCUCAACCUGGGAAUGGCAAUGGAUACUGGCAAGCUAGAGUGUGUCAGAGGAUGGUGGAAUUCUCGGUGUAGCGGUGAAAUGCGUAGAGAUCGGGAGGAACAUCAGUGGCGAAGGCGGCCAUCUGGGACAACACUGACGCUGAGGCACGAAAGCGUGGGGAGCAAACAGGAUUAGAUACCCCUGUAGUCCCUGUCUCUUAUAC